GAGUAUCUAUUUUACGUUAACUGCGUCCUUAAUCCUGCAAUAUACAUGAAUAUUCAUUAUUGUAUUGUAGUUU
Ipomoea nil (Japanese morning glory) is the source of this 73-nucleotide long non-coding RNA. RefSeq lists it as uncharacterized. The record is from RefSeq and is a predicted model, not a curated record. The transcript is spliced from 3 exons. NCBI's taxonomy places the organism in Eukaryota, Viridiplantae, Streptophyta, Magnoliopsida, Solanales, Convolvulaceae.